UACGAGGGGGGCAAGCGUUGUUCGGAAUUACUGGGCGUAAAGAGUGUGUAGGCGGUGUUCUAAGUUUGUCGUGAAAUCUCCCGGCUUAACUGGGAGGGUGCGGCGAAAACUGGAAUGCUAGAGGAUGGGAGAGGUAAGCGGAAUUCCUGGUGUAGCGGUGAAAUGCGCAGAUAUCAGGAGGAACACCGGUGGCGAAGGCGGUUCUCUGGGCAUUACCUGACGCUGAGGAGCGAAAGUGUGGGGAGCGAACAGG
RNAcentral lists this ribosomal RNA (253 nucleotides) under uncultured bacterium. RNAcentral describes it as "partial 16S ribosomal RNA". It matches the Rfam family "Bacterial small subunit ribosomal RNA", at positions 524 to 776 of the family's 1533-position model. The record is from RNAcentral.